RNAcentral lists this transfer RNA (68 nucleotides) under Anoura geoffroyi (Geoffroy's tailless bat). Its description in RNAcentral is "tRNA-His". It matches the Rfam family "tRNA". Rfam says of the family: Transfer RNA (tRNA) molecules are approximately 80 nucleotides in length. Their secondary structure includes four short double-helical elements and three loops (D, anti-codon, and T loops). Further hydrogen bonds mediate the characteristic L-shaped molecular structure. tRNAs have two regions of fundamental functional importance: the anti-codon, which is responsible for specific mRNA codon recognition, and the 3' end, to which the tRNAs corresponding amino acid is attached (by aminoacyl-tRNA synthetases). tRNAs cope with the degeneracy of the genetic code in two manners: having more than one tRNA (with a specific anti-codon) for a particular amino acid; and 'wobble' base-pairing, i.e. permitting non-standard base-pairing at the 3rd anti-codon position. Lineage: Eukaryota; Metazoa; Chordata; Mammalia; Chiroptera; Phyllostomidae. The record is from RNAcentral.
GUAAGUAUAGUUUAAUAAAAACUUUAGAUUGUGAAUCUAACAAUAGAAACUAACCUUUCUUACUUACC